GACCUGGUGGUGAAAUGCAUCAUGUCCACUUUCCCUGGAUCUUGUUGGAAUAGUGUAUUUGUGGGAGGUCCCCGGUUUGAAUCCGGGCCAGGUCA
This is a non-coding RNA of Mycena leptocephala, 95 nucleotides long. Lineage: Eukaryota; Fungi; Basidiomycota; Agaricomycetes; Agaricales; Mycenaceae. The record is from the annotation of a GenBank genome assembly.